GCAGCUCAGUGAUGGGGCAUCUGCUUUGCAAGCAGGAAGUCCCGGGUUCAAUUGCCAGCAUCUCCA
Molecule: non-coding RNA, 66 nt
Organism: Podarcis lilfordi (Lilford's wall lizard)
Lineage: Eukaryota; Metazoa; Chordata; Lepidosauria; Squamata; Lacertidae
Source: the annotation of a GenBank genome assembly